GACGAACGCUGGCGGCGUGCUUAACACAUGCAAGUCGAACGGAAAGGCCCUGCUUUUGUGGGGUGCUCGAGUGGCGAACGGGUGAGUAACACGUGAGUAACCUGCCCUUGACUUUGGGAUAACUUCAGGAAACUGGGGCUAAUACCGGAUAGGAGCUCCUGCUGCAUGGUGGGGGUUGGAAAGUUUCGGCGGUUGGGGAUGGACUCGCGGCUUAUCAGCUUGUUGGUGGGGUAGUGGCUUACCAAGGCUUUGACGGGUAGCCGGCCUGAGAGGGUGACCGGCCACAUUGGGACUGAGAAACGGCCCAGACUCCUACGGGAGGCAGCAGUGGGGAAUAUUGCACAAUGGGCGGAAGCCUGAUGCAGCAACGCCGCGUGCGGGAUGACGGCCUUCGGGUUGUAAACCGCUUUCGCCUGUGACGAAGCGUGAGCGACGGUAAUGGGUAAAGAAGCACCGGCUAACUACGUG
Molecule: ribosomal RNA, 468 nt
Filed under: uncultured bacterium
Lineage: Bacteria
Description: partial 16S ribosomal RNA
Rfam family: Bacterial small subunit ribosomal RNA
Source: RNAcentral